AUACAAAGUAAACAAGUGUCAUACAUUUCAACGCGAUAUGAGUCGUUUUGGUGACAUUAACCCAUAAAAUGAAUCACAUCUUUGUGAAACAAUUUUGUGUAUAUUAGGGCCUACUGUGGGCAGGCUGAUUUUGCCUACCCCGAAGCCCCGUCUUUUCUCCCUAGACUCUUUCAUCGGCCUUGCGGUAGCUUCAACUGAAACGCACUGGCUUCGGUGUGUGCCUGGUUCCUGCUCCCUUGAGUUGACGAGAGCGUUCGUUGUGGGCGAGUGGGGACUUGUCUGUAAAGUUAACAGAAAAAUAAUUCAUGGCUUACUCAGUGUAAAGAGCAGCUGGAGCACGGGAAAAUAUUCACAAUUAUGACAUCAACUUUGGGGGACAAAACAUUUUAUAUGAUGACAAAUUGUGCGUGUAAUUAUACUUUUUAUAUAUUGACGUAUCAUUCAAGUGUAAAUACAAUAUUAUAAUUUGGUAUUUUAGCAUAAUAGUAAAAUCUAAUACAAGUGUGUAAUUCUAUGAUAAUAAAAUACGACUUCAUCUCAACCAAUUCAGACCUCACAUUUGAUUUUGUAAGUGUAUGAUCAUCAUCACCACCACCACCUGAAGUCCACAUAAUCAUUGUCUAAUAGAGCGUGAUCAAUGUUAUUAUAAUGUAACAAAUGUAUCAUCGCACGUUGCUGCCUGUUACUACUUUCUUUCCAAAUCCACCACCUGUUUGCCGUAUCUUGAGCACUGCUAGUGGUCAAAACAAUCCUCCCAUGUAAAUCCAACAUGGCGGCGCCCCUUAGGACAUUGUGUAGUACAGAUGGCCGGUCGGCACCCCCACUGAAAGGACAGCUGAGGAGAAAGCAGGAGAGAGAGACGUUAGCAAGACGUGUAGUGAAUCUCAGCCCUGAGGUGGAUAAAGGGAUGGAAGUGUGGAGGGAGAAACGGGAGGAAGCUAAAAGGAUCGAGGAACGCAAUAAAUCUCUUCUGCUAAAACCCAAAGGGAACCUUUUAUUGAAGAAAAAUAAAUAAGAAAUCAUAUUUUCCAUUCUAGCUGACAUGACCUAUUAACAAAAUGGUGGAGUUGGUGUAUGGCUUUGUAGUACUUAUUUUGCCCUUUUCAAUGUUUUUCAAAAAUAAACUUUAAUGUAUAUCCACAA
Oncorhynchus tshawytscha (Chinook salmon) is the source of this 1143-nucleotide long non-coding RNA. RefSeq lists it as uncharacterized. The annotation marks the transcript as partial. The record is from RefSeq and is a predicted model, not a curated record. NCBI's taxonomy places the organism in Eukaryota, Metazoa, Chordata, Actinopteri, Salmoniformes, Salmonidae. The transcript has 3 exons.